CGCCGUUCCCCCGGGUCGGGGGCGGGGCCGGCUUCGCGGCGCCGCUGAGUUUCCCCGCCAGCGGACCAAUGAAUCGUGUGCGGCCGCGUCUUCGCCCCGCCCCUUCCGCCAGGCCCCGCGCCAGGCUGGCUUGACUGACAGGUGGGCGCGGGACUGGCGGGCGCAGAGUGAGUGACGGGCGCGGGUGGGCAGGAGCGCACGAGGCUGACUGGCGGGCGGCCUCCAUCUUUCCCGGCCACUUCUCCGCCUCCGUUUGUGAGGGGCUUUGGACCAAGGCAGUUUGUAAACCCGCCUCGGGGCGCCCGUAGCCUCAGCGGACCGAGGGAACUUUCCAGAACCUUGCAGCGCCUUCUUAUACCUGAAGAUCCUCUGCUGAAACAUUCAAGUUCAGAACCCCCCCACCCCCCGUCCGCGCACACCCACAAAAGGGGGCCGCGCCUGUUGCAAAUCACCUGCUUGCUUAGUCCGGUACCUGGGAAGGAGGGCUCCUGCGCGGAGCCUGGGAGGCCGGCGCUCUGUGCAGUCGAUCCAAAGGACCCCUGCCUCUUCCUAUGAUGAUGUUAAACGGAGUUUGGGCAAGCUGGCCAGAAGAAAGUAAAAAAAUCUGCCGUUGGGAAUGUGGAAAUACUGGUUUCAAUCUGCAGUUGACUGAAUUCGCCGAUGUGAAAUCCGUGAAGGCCAAGUGUGUUUAUUGAAAAAAAUCCAUGAAUACAUGGACUUGUGCAGUCCAAACUGAUGUUGUUCAAGAUGUGAGAAUAAACAAGUAAUCUUUUCUGUCAAA
Molecule: long non-coding RNA, 781 nt
Organism: Myotis myotis
Lineage: Eukaryota; Metazoa; Chordata; Mammalia; Chiroptera; Vespertilionidae
Exons: 2
Source: RefSeq, a predicted model, not a curated record